GGGAUGAGUGUGUAACAUACCGGAUUUUGAUAUAAAAGUAAAAAUAAAUAAAAAUAGUGUGAGAUACUAUUUUUAUUGGAUUUAGAGAAGCAAAAUAUAAAUUAGAAAUGAUUUGUGCUGAAAUCGAAAUAAAAACAGAAAAUUUAGAAUUUUCUGUGAGAGACGGGGCUGAUAUUUUAGUAGAAAAUGUACCAUGUCAAAAAAUUAUGAAAAUUGGAGAAUAUGUUAGAAAUAUUUUUGUGAGGCUAAAUUUAAAGUUUCAUGACAUUCUGACACCCGGAAGGUGGAAAAUAAAAUCCGACUGCUAUCUGCUAGAGAUUACAGUUCGGUAGAGCUUUCGGUGACCAAAUGUGGUCGAAACUGAAAGAUUAAAAUUUCUUUCGUUAAGUUAAGUAAAACCGGGUCUGA
RNAcentral lists this long non-coding RNA (408 nucleotides) under Ananas comosus (pineapple). RNAcentral describes it as "long non-coding RNA (ACOM_LNC039717)". The record is from RNAcentral. Lineage: Eukaryota; Viridiplantae; Streptophyta; Magnoliopsida; Poales; Bromeliaceae.